AUCCGAAACGGUAGAAGAUGUACUUAUUGAAAAGAUUCUUGCUGCUCCUACCUAAUAUGAACUGUUGAACCUGGAGGUAGAUGCCAGUACCACUGGUGCUGGAGCUGUCCAACUGCAAGAGGAUGAUGGAGGAAUAUUACAUCACAUUUUUGGAUCUGAACACUGGCGAAAACGACCAACAAGGCCCAUUCAAGAAAAUAAACGUCUAAGUUCCUGUGGACGAACGGUCUUUUUUUGGACACAAUGGUUUGGACACGGCAUUAAUGCAUAGAAGAGUCAAUUCCUGGACACCAUCGGAGAUGAAAGCACUUUUUAAUAAUACUUAGCGCUUUGACUCUUGUAGACUGCAGACCACUCUGUGCUUGAGGAAAUCCUACCUUUAUUUUUUGCAGCAGUCUUUGUCUUCUUUCUGAUGUCUUUCCCUGCUGGUUCUUCCCUGCCCUUUGCUGUUUUCAAUUUCUUCACCUUCUUUUCAUCUAUUUAAAGGUGUAGUGUGAGAAGAAUGAAACAAGGAGAAGACUAUUUAUCAAAUGGUAUAUGGAUGAGAUGGUACAGACCUCUGUCCGUCGGCAGUAUUUACUACCGCUCAAACCACACAUUUCUCAUUGUCUCUAUCUACAUGUGCAUUUCCAUAAAAUGUCCUACAGAUCUCAUGGUCUCGAUACGCUCCCUUUCUUCCCUGUGGAAUAAUGUACUUCCUUUUUGGCACAUAAUCCAAAAAGCUUGAGGCUCUAGACCGGAGUUGGAGACCUCUGCUCUAGUCACUUUAAACCAUGAGUCCCCAGCUGUUUUUCCCUGAGGGCCAAAUUCUAUCAGCAACACAAAGCUAAGGUCCACCACAAAUAAAAAAUACUAACUGUGUGGUCGCCUCGUGAUAAAAUUCACAGACUGGGGGGAAACAAUCUGACAGUCAGGAUGCAGACUGGACUCCACCAAAUGGUGACUACUGCUUUUAACCAAGCAAGGUGUUGAUGUAAAGAUAUAUAACAAAAUGGCAGUUGGCAGCUCUCCAUGUAGUUCCUGUUUGUUUUUUUUUCACCUCGUUUGUUACGAAUUUCGUACAUGCACAUCUCAUAACUAUGUUUUAUUGUUGUGUUAUGCAUGAAAGUAUUUAUGUGUGUAUAAUGUAUGCGUGCUAUUUAUGGAAGCUGUAACCAAAUUUUGUUAGGUAUACGUACACAUUCUGUUAGCACAACGACAAAUAUAAAAAUCCUUGAAGCUUAAUUGACGGGGGCCGUACUUGGCGAGGCUGGGCUGUCCUCCCCACCGGCGGGGUCCUCAUUCUUCUUGACCUUUGACCUUUUCGGUUUCCCAUCUGAGCUGUUGGCUUGGAUCUGGCUCGUCUCCUGAUUUUUCUUCUUGAGCUUCUGUACAGCAUGGCCUGCAGGAAAAAGAACUUGUUCAAUCGUGCUACUAC
This is a long non-coding RNA of Brienomyrus brachyistius, 1417 nucleotides long. RefSeq lists it as uncharacterized. The transcript has 4 exons. Lineage: Eukaryota; Metazoa; Chordata; Actinopteri; Osteoglossiformes; Mormyridae. The record is from RefSeq and is a predicted model, not a curated record.